GACCCGUAAUCCGGGUUGCGGACAGUGUCUGGUGGGUAGUUUGACUGGGGCGGUCUCCUCCUAAAGAGUAACGGAGGAGCACGAAGGUUGGCUAAUCCUGGUCGGACAUCAGGAGGUUAGUGCAAUGACAUAAGCCAGCUUGACUGCGAGCGUGACGGCGCGAGCAGGUGCGAAAGCAGGUCAUAGUGAUCCGGUGGUUCUGAAUGGAAGGGCCAUCGCUCAACGGAUAAAAGGUACUCCGGGGAUAACAGGCUGAUACCGCCCAAGAGUUCAUAUCGACGGCGGUGUUUGGCACCUCGAUGUCGGCUCAUCACAUCCUGGGGCUGAAGUAGGUCCCAAGGGUAUGGCUGUUCGCCAUUUAAAGUGGUACGCGAGCUGGGUUUAGAACGUCGUGAGACAGUUCGGUCCCUAUCUGCCGUGGGCGCUGGAGAAUUGAGGGGGGCUGCUCCUAGUACGAGAGGACCGGAGUGGACGCAUCACUGGUGUUCGGGUUGUCAUGCCAAUGGCACUGCCCGGUAGCUAAAUGCGGAAGAGAUAAGUGCUGAAAGCAUCUAAGCACGAAACUUGCCCCGAGAUGAGUUCUCCCUGACUCCUUGAGAGUCCUGAAGGAACGUUGAAGACGACGACGUUGAUAGGCCGGGUGUGUAAGCGCAGCGAUGCGUUGAGCUAACCGGUACUAAUGAACCGUGAGGCUUAACCUUACAACGCCGAAG
This 713-nucleotide ribosomal RNA is filed under the name Escherichia coli. RNAcentral's name for it is "partial 23S ribosomal RNA". It matches the Rfam family "Bacterial large subunit ribosomal RNA", at positions 2230 to 2925 of the family's 2925-position model. The record is from RNAcentral. Lineage: Bacteria; Pseudomonadati; Pseudomonadota; Gammaproteobacteria; Enterobacterales; Enterobacteriaceae.